This 465-nucleotide ribosomal RNA is filed under the name uncultured bacterium. Its description in RNAcentral is "partial 16S ribosomal RNA". It matches the Rfam family "Bacterial small subunit ribosomal RNA", at positions 338 to 795 of the family's 1533-position model. The record is from RNAcentral.
CCUACGGGUGGCAGCAGUGGGGAAUAUUGCGCAAUGGGCGAAAGCCUGACGCAGCGACGCCGCGUGAGGGAUGAAGGUCUUCGGAUCGUAAACCUCUGUCAGCAGGGAAGAACGGUCACUGUGCUAAUCAGCAGUGAAUUGACGGUACCUGCAAAGGAAGCACCGGCUAACUCCGUGCCAGCAGCCGCGGUCAUACGGAGGGUGCGAGCGUUAAUCGGAAUUACUGGGCGUAAAGCGCUCGUAGGCGGUAUGUCAAGUCAAGGGUGAAAUCCCCGCGCUCAACGUGGGAACUGCCUUUGAAACUGGCAAACUGGAGUGUGUGAGAGGAUAGUGGAAUUCCAGGGGUAGGAGUGAAAGCCGUAGAUAUCGGGAGGAACAUCAGUGGCGAAGGCGACUAUCUGGCACAUAACUGACGCUGAGGAGCGAAAGCGCGGGUAGCAAACAGGAUUAGAUACCCCUGUAGUC